Hyla sarda is the source of this 675-nucleotide long non-coding RNA. RefSeq lists it as uncharacterized. The transcript has 3 exons. The record is from RefSeq and is a predicted model, not a curated record. Lineage: Eukaryota; Metazoa; Chordata; Amphibia; Anura; Hylidae.
UCCAUGACAACCGUCCUCUGGCCUGCUCACCUCUGUUGGCACUAAUUGGCAUGAUCUCGUAAUCCUGAUGUAACAAAUACAUGCCCUGUUUAGUAAGAGACCUAUUUUUUAGAUCAUCUCUUGAACACACAGAUCCCACACAUUAUUGUUCGGUAACCUGACUGGGAUCUUGAAAUAGGAGAAGAAACUAUCUCCUCCUUUCUGGUCAGGACACAAAUAUGAGCUCAUCACAAAGGGAAGUACCAAUUAUGAUAUAGAGGCGAGGCGAGGCGGAGUGCUCAUGUGACUACGUAUCCUGUGAAGAAUCUGUUUCUGUCUCUGGGGUCUAAGAAACAGAAAAGGUUGACCUCUUCCUCAAAUGCCAGAUGUCUUGUAAAGAGCUCCGUGACGUUGGCCCUAUAGGCAUGGUGAAAGCUGCCACUCAGUGUCUGCUGCUGGACCUGCGGCCCACACUGAAAAACAAGCCCUUUACGGAGCGCAGACACAACUAUAUCACUCUUCGGCGCCUGCACUGUAGAGGAGAAAGGACGCAGCCAGGCUGUUCUGGAGAUCAUUGUGUGAGACAUCAGAUUUGAAGAAGAAAAAUGACAAGAUUGCUCACCUUUACCUCUUGUUAUUUUGAUUUUUUUCUGCAAAUAUUUUCUUUGAAUUUCUAAUAAAUAUGAAACAUUUUUU